Molecule: long non-coding RNA, 335 nt
Organism: Gopherus evgoodei (Goodes thornscrub tortoise)
Lineage: Eukaryota; Metazoa; Chordata; Testudines; Testudinidae
Exons: 3
Source: RefSeq, a predicted model, not a curated record
UCUCCAGUCUUCACCAUUCUCCAGGUGUUCUCAAAGAUGAUUGGAUAACAAGCUUGUGGAUAGAGGGGAAACAGUAGACAUGGUAUAUGGUGACUUCAGUAAUGCUUUUGAUGCUGUCUUGCAUGACCUUCUCCUAAACAAACUAGAGAAGUACAACUGGAAUGGAACUAUCAUUAGUCGAGAACAUCCAUCUGCGAGGAAAGAGCCGGGGGGAAUUGUGAUGUGACGUGACUGUCCUGUUCUGACACGUCCCCUUCAUGCCCUGACAGGCUGCAGUGUCACGUCCCAUCCUCCCAGGCAAGAGAGAUGGCUGCCGUGGGGCCAGCUCAGGUAGG